UGCGUCAUUAAUAGGCGGGAACAGUGCCCCUGUGUUGAGGCUGCAGAGGCCCUAAUUGGUUUUCCCAAGACAGAGGGGCAUAUGAGAUUGAACAAAUAUUUGUUGAAUGAAUGAACAAAGGGAACGCCUUUUAGGGAUGUUUCUGGGGGAAAGGCCUGAGGUUCUCCAGGAGGGUCUGCAGCUAGGGUCGGCCGUGGGGGCUCGCAGCCCGCGGGACCACCGGACCUGCAAGCGUCCCCCUGCCCCGCCCCCGCCUCGGCGCUCUGAGCAAUUGGACUCUGCCAGCUCUAACUCCGGCGGGACUCUGAAACUCAGGCAAGAGCCGAGGUGACUGGGUCCUUUGAAAUGGGUAGGGGACACGUAUCCGGUAGAACUAAAACUAGCGUGGGGAUUUGAAGCCAAAACUCUCAAGUUUUUACUGAAUCUUAAAACCAUCAACUUCCAAAUGUCUGCAUUUGUCUUUACACCACACAGGUCUCCCCUCUAUCAUGGCAUUUGUCGAAAAGGAGGGUAGAUGUUUGUUUUUCGCACCUUUACUUUGGGGAAUUGUAAAAUCAGGAAGAUAAUAAGAAACAAUUGUUAGAAAUCAGUAACUAAAAAUGCUUAUGAAUAUUUCCACCAAAAUAAUGACCAGUGUUUGUGAGGUCAAUAGAUUCAGGAUUACCAAAUAAAUUCUUUCAUUAUAUUUUAAGAAGUACACAGUUAAAAUAGACCAAUAGCACUUUAACAUUAAUCAGCUUAAGAUUAUGCAAUAUUAUAUAUAAUUCUCAAAUCCCUUAAGGGAGAUCAGAAACUACUGAAAUAUAAGAGAUUUUUGUCACCUCUGAAAUUGUGAAGAAUAUGUUUUUUUUCUUUCAGCUUUUCUACCAAGUAAAUAAAGCUUCCCUUUAGGCAUUUUACUAAUUUUUAGAUGUGUUUUGAAAGAAAAGUCUUAAGUUAUAUAUUAAAGUGAAAAUGUGAAUCUUUAAAUGGAUACAAGAAAUGUUAUAUGAACAUUCCAUUCUUAUCAAUUUAAAUGUUCGUAUCUUACAGAAAACAUGGAAACAACGCUAAUGAAAAUCCUGUAAAUCCUGUAAAUUACUGAUAUUUGAAAAUUCACUGCCAAUCUCCUAUGUCACUUGGUUUUUAUUUUUCUUACCUAUAAUUUAGAUUGCAGUAUAGAAGAUUUUUCCCCAUUUUCUGUGCUUUUUUAAGAAAGAAGGAGAUAAAGACUUGUCUAUGAAAUUCGUGCCUUUUUAAACAAUAGUCAGUCUGUAAGCAAUAGAUGGAAAGAAUCUUUAUCCUUUUGAUGAUUUAUACUUGGGCACAUAACUUUUUGAGGGACGAGGAAAAUACCUACUUGACACUUACUAACUCAUUCCAUUUCACAUAAAAUUUCAUUGAUGUCAGUGGCAGUGAUAUUUUAUACAUUGAGCGAUAAGAUAUGGAACAUAAACAUUUUGAACAAAAUAAUUAUUACAUAUUUAAAGGGUGCUGUGAUGGUCCUGAAGUUAGACAGCAUCCUUCCUUCCUGAAGAAAACCACACAAGCCAUUUUAAAUGUCUCCAAAUUAAGAACUUCUUUUGUAUCCCCAUACCUCUAAAAAUAGAACUGAAACCAAUGAUAAAAUCCAAGCUCUUGCUUUGUGACUCAUCCAGGAUAAACCCAGUUACUUGUUUUGUUGCAGGCAAGUGACAGCAAAUCCAGAAUAUGAAGUGCCUACUUAUUUUUAAUUUAGGGUAUAAGUAAACUAUAAUAACAAGAAAUAUUUUCAAUAGUAAAGACAUUAAAUUUAAAAAAUAAAUCAUGACAUCCUUCAAAUAUGAAUGACUACAUUAACUUAAAAUCUUCAACUUGAAAAAUUUGUUUUCACUGGGUCCAAGAAAUCAGUGCUUUAAGGAUAGAAAACAGGAAGUCAAAAAAUGCAGUAUUGGUCAGGCACGUGGCUUACUCCUGUAAUCCCAACACUUUGGAAGGCCAAGGCGAGGCCAAUCGUUUGAGUCCAGAAGUUCAAGACCAGCUUAGACAAUAUGAUGAAACUCUGUCUGUACAAAAAAAUACAAAAAAUUAGUUGGGCAUGGUGGCCAGCGCCUCCAGUCCCAGCUACUUGGGAGGCUGAGAUGGGAGGAUCACCUGAGCCCAGGAGGUUGAGGUUACAGUGUGCCACUGCACUGCAGCCUGGGUGACAGAGUGAGACCUGUCUCCAAAAAAAAAAGCACUAUUUACAUUUGUACAUUUUAUUUAGGCUUGUAAAUAUGUAAGUUAAAUAAUCAGGAAUGAUUAUCUAAAUAAUUAAAUGUACUUCAGCUUUCUCCAUGUAUACUAUUUAGAGGUUUAACUGCCCAUUUUGUGUUUAAUCAAAAUCAUGAUUUUCCCCCACCAGAGCUCAAGGCUUCAACACAAAACAAAGAAUAUGUAAAUAAGCUUCAGCAUAAUUAUAAUAACAAUAUGGCCAACUCAGUUAUUUUAGAUUAUUAAUUCUCUAUUUACUAUAAUCCUUGUUGCUUCAUGUUAACACUUCUCUCAUAAGCCAUGGAUAGGAAGGAAGUAAAGAUGAAAUUCAAUGAAACUGAAGUUAAUUAGAUUUCCUACUUGAUAACAAUUGAAAAAAAUAUUUGCAUAAAGAAUGGCAGUAUUGGCCAGGCACAGUGGUUCAUGCCUGUAAUCCUAGCACUUUGGGAGGCUAAGUCAGGAGGAUUGCUUGAGCCCAGGAAUUUGAGACCAACCUGGGCAACAUAGCUAAACCUUGUCUCUACACAAAAUUUAAAAAUUAGCUAGGUGUAGCGGGUACAUCUGUGGUCCCAGCUACUUGAGAAGCGUGCGGUAGGAUUGCUUGAGCCCUGGAAAUCGAGGCUGCAGUGAGCCAUGUUCAUGCCACUGCACUCCAGGCAACAGAGUGAGACUCUGCCAGAAAGAAAAGAAAAGAAAAAAGAGAAGAGAAGAGAAGAGAGAAAAGAAGAAAGAAAGAGAAAGAAAGAAAGGAUUACUUGUGUCAUACAACUAGUAUUUGUGCAGUGUUCUUAAUUUCUCUAACCAUUUCUUCAUCAGAUAAAUGGUAAUAACGUAACCUACCUCAUGAAUUUGUGAGAAUUAAAUGAAAUAAUGUGCAAAAAAGUAUUUUACACAGUGCCUGGUGCAUAGUAAAUGCUCAAUAAAUAUCAGCUUCGAUUAUUAGAAAUCAAAAGGUAAACAUGUUUUAGCUUAUUUUUCACUUAUGGUUAUAUGUAUUUCCCAUUGACAAGAAAAUUUAAACAUAGAAUCAAUUUCAGAAAAUGUCAUCCAUAGCUUCUAAAUAUAAUUUCCAUUAAGACUUGAUCUUGUAUUACUAUACAAUAAUAGAAAUACUAAUGGGAAGAUUUGACCUGCUCCAUCAUAAUUUGUAAAACAUGCAAUUUUUAUGAAGAAAAAACUUAGGAAAAAUAUGCUUCAAGUGAUUUCAGAGGCUUAGUGUCUACGCAGCCUCAAAUCAAACAGAAUUUGUUAAAUUUUCAUCACAGUUCACCAACUGUGAUGUGCUGAGCUUUAUGGUAGCAAAAGCAUUUAAUAGCUUUAAAUCAUUGAGUAAAAAUUAUCUGCAUGAAGAGUUCUGUCUGCACAUUCAAUAAUUUCAGUGAUUCCACCUUUCUGAGUAGGUAAAUUGAUAAUAGCCACAGUGAGAAUAUUAUAGCUGAGUUGGCUUGUAGCAUGACUACCAACCAGCUAUCAAAUCCUGUGCAGACUCCUUUAAAAUAACGAUCCUGAAUUCAUACUUUUUAUUACAAAUAAGUUCACCAUUUGUAGCAUUUUGAGAUGGCCAAAGAAACUGGAUUUCUGUAUUGCAACCACUCCACAGCAAGAAACAUUUCUUUUUUUUUCUUUGAGACGGUCUUGCUCUGUCACCCAGGCUGGAGUGCAGUGGUGCCAUCUUGGUUCACUGCAACCUCUGCCUCUGGGUUCUAGUGAUUAUCAUGCCU
Molecule: long non-coding RNA, 3932 nt
Filed under: Homo sapiens (human)
Lineage: Eukaryota; Metazoa; Chordata; Mammalia; Primates; Hominidae
Description: long non-coding RNA NONHSAT006267.2
Source: RNAcentral